RNAcentral lists this ribosomal RNA (800 nucleotides) under uncultured bacterium. RNAcentral describes it as "bacterial SSU rRNA". It matches the Rfam family "Bacterial small subunit ribosomal RNA", at positions 8 to 856 of the family's 1533-position model. The record is from RNAcentral.
AGAGUUUGAUCCUGGCUCAGAACGAACGCUGGCGGCAGGCUUAACACAUGCGAGUCGAGCGCCCCGCAAGGGGAGCGGCAGACGGGUGAGUAACGCGUGGGAACAUACCCUUUGGUUCGGAAUAACUCAGGGAAACUUGAGCUAAUACCGGAUACGUCCGUAAGGAGAAAGAUUUAUCGCCAAAGGAUUGGCCCGCGUCCGAUUAGCUAGUUGGUGAGGUAACGGCUCACCAAGGCUACGAUCGGUAGCUGGUCUGAGAGGAUGAUCAGCCACAUUGGGACUGAGACACGGCCCAAACUCCUACGGGAGGCAGCAGUGGGGAAUAUUGGACAAUGGGCGCAAGCCUGAUCCAGCCAUGCCGCGUGAGUGAUGAAGGCCUUAGGGUUGUAAAGCUCUUUUGUCCGGGAAGAUAAUGACUGUACCGGAAGAAUAAGCCCCGGCUAACUUCGUGCCAGCAGCCGCGGUAAUACGAAGGGGGCUAGCGUUGUUCGGAAUCACUGGGCGUAAAGCGCACGUAGGCGGACCGUUAAGUCGGAGGUGAAAGCCUGGGGCUCAACCCCAGAACUGCCUUCGAUACUGGCGGUCUUGAGUAUGGUAGAGGUUGGUGGAACUCCGAGUGUAGAGGUGAAAUUCGUAGAUAUUCGGAAGAACACCAGUGGCGAAGGCGGCCAACCGGACCAUUACUGACGCUGAGGUGCGAAAGCGUGGGGGAGCAAACAGGAUUAGAUACCCUGGUAGUCCACGCUGUAAACGAUGAGAGCUAGCCGUUGGGGUGCAUGCACCUCAGUGGCGCAGCUAAC